RNAcentral lists this ribosomal RNA (253 nucleotides) under uncultured bacterium. RNAcentral's name for it is "partial 16S ribosomal RNA". It matches the Rfam family "Bacterial small subunit ribosomal RNA", at positions 524 to 776 of the family's 1533-position model. The record is from RNAcentral.
UACGUAGGGAGCAAGCGUUGUCCGGAAUCAUUGGGCGUAAAGCGCGCGUAGGCGGCCCGGUAAGUCCGUUGUGAAAGUCAAAGGCUCAACCUUUGAAUGCCGAUGGAUACUGCCGGGCUCGAGUCCGGAAGAGGCGAGUGGAAUUCCCGGUGUAGCGGUGAAAUGCGCAGAUAUCGGGAGGAACACCAAUGGCGAAGGCAGCUCGCUGGGACGUGACUGACGCUGAGACGCGAAAGCGUGGGGAGCAAACAGG